GCCUGCCUAGCUCAAUCGGAUAGAGCAUUCGACUCUUACGUUUCCGUAAUUGUCAUGGCACGUGAAUCGAAAGGCUGCGAGUUCGACCCUCGCGGUGGGCU
This is a non-coding RNA of Mycena floridula, 101 nucleotides long. NCBI's taxonomy places the organism in Eukaryota, Fungi, Basidiomycota, Agaricomycetes, Agaricales, Mycenaceae. The record is from the annotation of a GenBank genome assembly.